This 153-nucleotide ribosomal RNA is filed under the name uncultured bacterium. RNAcentral's name for it is "partial 16S ribosomal RNA". It matches the Rfam family "Bacterial small subunit ribosomal RNA", at positions 356 to 505 of the family's 1533-position model. The record is from RNAcentral.
GGGGAAUAUUGGACAAUGGGGGCAANCCUGAUCCAGCAAUACCGCGUGUGUGAAGAAGGCCUGAGGGUUGUAAAGCACUUUCAUUGGGANGAAANCGUNUAGGUUAAUANCCUAGCAGCCUGACGUACCUUAGAAGAGCACCGGCUAUUCUGC